This 513-nucleotide ribosomal RNA is filed under the name uncultured bacterium. Its description in RNAcentral is "partial 16S ribosomal RNA". It matches the Rfam family "Bacterial small subunit ribosomal RNA", at positions 29 to 523 of the family's 1533-position model. The record is from RNAcentral.
AACGGACGCUGGCGGCGUGCCUAACACAUGCGAGUCGAACGUGAAAGUCCUUCGGGAUGAGUAGAGUGGCGCACGGGUGAGUAACACGUAGGUGACCUGCCUUUUAGAGGGGAAUAACCAGAAGAAAUUUUGGCUAAUGCCGCAUACGAAGCACGGUUUUAAGACUGUGCUUGAAAGAAUGCCUCUGUAUAUGCAUUCACUAAAAGAUGGGCCUGCGGAACAUUAGCUAGUUGGUGGGGUAAAGGCCUACCAAGGCAACGAUGUUUAUCCGGUCUGAGAGGAUGAUCGGACACACUGGAACUGAGACACGGUCCAGACUCCUACGGGAGGCAGCAGUGGGGAAUAUUGCGCAAUGGGGGAAACCCUGACGCAGCAACGCCGCGUGAGUGAGGAAGGACUUCGGUCCGUAAAGCUCUGUUAAUGUGGAAAAAUGGUAGUUGGUCUAAUAGGCCGAUUAUUUGAUGGUACACAUAGAGGAAGCACCGGCUAACUUCGUGCCAGCCGCCGCCGUAA